RNAcentral lists this ribosomal RNA (423 nucleotides) under uncultured bacterium. RNAcentral describes it as "bacterial SSU rRNA". It matches the Rfam family "Bacterial small subunit ribosomal RNA", at positions 358 to 773 of the family's 1533-position model. The record is from RNAcentral.
AGAAUCUUUCGCAAUGGACGAAAGUCUGACGAAGCGACGCCGUGUGAACGAAGAAGGCCCUCGGGUUGUAAAGUUCUUUCGCCAGGGAACAAGAGAGAAGAGCGAAUAACUCUUUGCUUUGAGUGUACCUAGUAAAGAAGCACCGGCUAACUCAGUGCCAGCAGCUGCGGUAAUACGGAGGGUGCAAGCAUUAAUCGGAAUUAUUGGGCGUAAAGGGCGCGUAGGCGGAGUAGUAAGUCAGAUGUGAAAUACCAAAGCUUAACUUUGGUGCUGCAUUUGAAACUACGGAUCUAGAGGAUAGACGGAGAAAACGGAAUUCCACAUGUAGCGGUGAAAUGCGUGGAUAUGUGGAAGGACACCUGUGGCGAAAGCGGUUUUCUAGUUUAUUCCUGACGCUGAGGCGCGAGAGCAAGGGGAGCAAAC